AGAGUUUGAUCCUGGCUCAGGAUGAACGCUGGCGGCGCGCCUAACACAUGCAAGUCGAACGAUUAAAGCACCUUCGGGUGUGUAUAAAGUGGCGAACGGCUGAGUAACACGUGGGCAACCUGCCCCUUUCAUUGGGAUAGCCACGGGAAACCGUGGAUAAUACCGAAUACUUCGAGACUUCCGCAUGGAAGACUCGAGAAAGCUCCGGCGGAGAGGGAUGGGCCCGCGGCCUGUUAGCUUGUUGGUGGGGUAACGGCCUACCAAGGCAAUGAUGGGUAGCUGGGUUGAGAGACCGACCAGCCAGAUUGGGACUGAGACACGGCCCAGACUCCUACGGGAGGCAGCAGUGGGGAAUCUUGCACAAUGGGCGAAAGCCUGAUGCAGCGACGCCGCGUGCGGGAUGAAGGCCUUCGGGUUGUAAACCGCUUUCAGCAGGGACGAGGCGAAAGUGACGGUACCUGCAGAAGAAGCCCCGGCUAACUACGUGCCAGCAGCCGCGGUAAUACGUAGGGGGCAAGCGUUAUCCGGAUUCAUUGGGCGUAAAGCGCUCGUAGGCGGUCUGUUAGGUCGGGAGUUAAAUCCGGGGGCUCAACCCCCGCUCGCUCUCGAUACCGGCAGACUUGAGUUUGGUAGGGGAAGGUGGAAUUCCUAGUGUAGCGGUGGAAUGCGCAGAUAUUAGGAAGAACACCAGUGGCGAAGGCGGCCUUCUGGGCCAUAACUGACGCUGAGGAGCGAAAGCUAGGGGAGCAAACAGGAUUAGAUACCCUGGUAGUCCUAGCCGUAAACGAUGGACACUAAGUGCUGGGGGAGUAUUUCUUCCGUGCCGCAGCUAACGCAUUAA
This 841-nucleotide ribosomal RNA is filed under the name uncultured Veillonellaceae bacterium. RNAcentral describes it as "bacterial SSU rRNA". It matches the Rfam family "Bacterial small subunit ribosomal RNA", at positions 8 to 863 of the family's 1533-position model. Lineage: Bacteria; Bacillati; Bacillota; Negativicutes; Veillonellales; Veillonellaceae. The record is from RNAcentral.